GGGUCUAUGAUGACAGCCCAAUGUAAUGAAGAGAGGUAAUGCAAUAAAAAACAUGCUCAAUAGGAUUACACAGAGGCCC
This is a small nucleolar RNA of Apodemus sylvaticus (European woodmouse), 79 nucleotides long. RefSeq annotates it as small nucleolar RNA SNORD115. The record is from RefSeq and is a predicted model, not a curated record. NCBI's taxonomy places the organism in Eukaryota, Metazoa, Chordata, Mammalia, Rodentia, Muridae. The transcript has a single exon.